CAAUGCAUGCUGAAUGAUUGGGAUAUAUAAAUGUUUGUUGACAGGUGGAAACUUUUGAGAAACAAGCAAAUUACAGGGGAGACUGCCGAAUUUUCGGCAAAAGUCUAGCUGAUAGAAAAAUUCGUUUCUAGUUAGAAGGACGAUUUGGUCAUUUGUGCUCGGCAUUCUUCAGGUGUCGGACACGCAUAGGGUUCGGCUCGAAUUCCAAAGUGGUCGGGUCCUGUCAUAUAAUCCUGCCUAGCUUUCAACAAGUUGAAUAGAUAUGGAGAAAGGUUCAUUCAAGUCAGCUUUCUUCAUUGUGCUCUUUCUUGUUUCAUAUGAUGGUGUGCAAUUUGGAGCCGAAGCAAGAGGUCCAGUUGUUCGUUAUCCGUGCCAAACAUCUACUCCAUGCGGCCCAUGCACAUGCGUUGAGAAUUGGUGUAAGUGUCCACCAGAUAAAAUAUCGAAGUUCAUUCUUCAAGACAUCUCUACACACCCGCAAGCACAGAAGGAAAUGCCAUAAUCAGCGCUACUUGAUACAUUAAUAUAUAUCAUUGCUCGAAUGACUGUCUAAAUGAGGCUUGACUGUUUGUGAACUAUUUUGUUUAUGUUUGAAUUACGAGUUUAUGUUAUAGUAUUUUAUUAUUUUCUUGAGUGUUA
Long non-coding RNA from Prunus dulcis (almond), 639 nucleotides. RefSeq lists it as uncharacterized. The record is from RefSeq and is a predicted model, not a curated record. NCBI's taxonomy places the organism in Eukaryota, Viridiplantae, Streptophyta, Magnoliopsida, Rosales, Rosaceae. The transcript is spliced from 2 exons.